RNAcentral lists this ribosomal RNA (470 nucleotides) under uncultured Alphaproteobacteria bacterium. RNAcentral describes it as "bacterial SSU rRNA". It matches the Rfam family "Bacterial small subunit ribosomal RNA", at positions 9 to 524 of the family's 1533-position model. The record is from RNAcentral. Lineage: Bacteria; Pseudomonadati; Pseudomonadota; Alphaproteobacteria.
GAGUUUGAUCUUGGCUCAGAACGAACGCUGGCGGCAGGCUUAACACAUGCAAGUCGAACGGGCGCAGCAAUGCGUCAGUGGCAGACGGGUGAGUAACGCGUGGGAACGUGCCCUUCGGUUCGGAAUAACCCGGGGAAACUCGGGCUAAUACCGGAUACGUCCGCAAGGAGAAAGAUUUAUCGCCGAAGGAUCGGCCCGCGUCCGAUUAGCUAGUUGGCGGGGUAAUGGCCUACCAAGGCGACGAUCGGUAGCUGGUCUGAGAGGAUGAUCAGCCACACUGGGACUGAGACACGGCCCAGACUCCUACGGGAGGCAGCAGUGGGGAAUAUUGGACAAUGGGCGAAAGCCUGAUCCAGCCAUGCCGCGUGAGUGAAGAAGGCCUUAGGGUUGUAAAGCUCUUUCAGCGGGGAAGAUAAUGACGGUACCCGCAGAAGAAGCCCGGCUAACUUCGUGCCAGCCGCCGCCGUAAC